RNAcentral lists this non-coding RNA (501 nucleotides) under Magnaporthiopsis poae ATCC 64411. RNAcentral describes it as "Magnaporthe poae ATCC 64411 eukaryotic small subunit ribosomal RNA". It matches the Rfam family "Eukaryotic small subunit ribosomal RNA", at positions 606 to 1116 of the family's 1831-position model. The record is from Rfam by way of RNAcentral. Lineage: Eukaryota; Fungi; Ascomycota; Sordariomycetes; Magnaporthales; Magnaporthaceae.
AAAGUUGUUGCAGUUAAAAAGCUCGUAGUUGAACCUUGGGCCUGGCUGGCCGGUCCGCCUCACCGCGUGCACUGGUCCGGCCGGGCCUUUCCCUCUGGGGAGCCCCAUGCCCUUUACUGGGCGUGGCGGGGAACCAGGACUUUUACUUUGAAAAAAUUAGAGUGUUCAAAGCAGGCCUAUGCUCCAAUACAUUAAAAUGGAAUAAUAGAAUAGGACGUGUGGUUCUAUUUUGUUGGUUUCUAGGACCGCCGUAAUGAUUAAUAGGGACAGUCGGGGGCGUCAGUAUUCAAUUGUCAGAGGUGAAAUUCUUGGAUUUAUUGAAGACUAACUACUGCGAAAGCAUUCGUCAAGGAUGUUUUCAUUAAUCAGGAACGAAAGUUAGGGGAUCGAAAACGAUCAGAUACCGUUGUAGUCUUAACCAUAACUAUGCCGACCAGGGAUCGGGCGGUGUUAUUAUUGACCCGCUCGGCACCUUACACGAAAGUACAGUUUCUGGGUCUG